Long non-coding RNA from Saccostrea echinata, 297 nucleotides. RefSeq lists it as uncharacterized. The record is from RefSeq and is a predicted model, not a curated record. The transcript has 2 exons. NCBI's taxonomy places the organism in Eukaryota, Metazoa, Mollusca, Bivalvia, Ostreida, Ostreidae.
UGAUGAUGGAAAUCUCCCAGGAAAACCAGAAAUGAUGUUUUUCCACCCUGAAAUUUUUGGUGCAGUAGAUUAUAAAUUUCCAGUGGAUAUUCAUGACGUGCUAGAGUUUCAAAGACUAUUUCCUAGUCCAAGCUCGACAGGAUGUUGGGAGGACUAUGCAGCAUACUUUGAUCAUUUGCUUUUGGAGGGUGGGAGAAUUGUUCCAAACACCACUGAGAAGGCCAUGGAGGCUUUGAAGUACUUGGUUGAAAAGUUGUAAAAUCCAAAUUAAGAUUAGAGAAUAAAUCAUCACCUGAU